This 307-nucleotide unclassified non-coding RNA is filed under the name plant metagenome. Its description in RNAcentral is "partial contains 5.8S ribosomal RNA, internal transcribed spacer 2, and large subunit ribosomal RNA". The stretch from base 1 to 105 matches the Rfam family "5.8S ribosomal RNA", at positions 50 to 154 of the family's 154-position model. The record is from RNAcentral.
GAAAUGCGAUAAGUAGUGUGAAUUGCAGAAUUCAGUGAAUCAUCGAAUCUUUGAACGCACAUUGCGCCCUUUGGUAUUCCAAAGGGCAUGCCUGUUCGAGCGUCAUUUGUACCCUCAAGCUUUGCUUGGUGUUGGGCGUCUUGUCUCUAGCUUUGCUGGAGACUCGCCUUAAAGUAAUUGGCAGCCGGCCUACUGGUUUCGGAGCGCAACACAAGUCGCACUCUCUAUCAGCAAAGGUCUAGCAUCCAUUAAGCCUUUUUUCAACUUUUGACCUCGGAUCAGGUAGGGAUACCCGCUGAACUUAAGC